AUUGAACGCUGGCGGCAGGCCUAACACAUGCAAGUCGAACGGUAGCACAGAGAGCUUGCUCUCGGGUGACGAGUGGCGGACGGGUGAGUAACGUCUGGGAAACUGCCCGAUGGAGGGGGAUAACUACUGGAAACGGUAGCUAAUACCGCAUAACGUCGCAAGACCAAAGUGGGGGACCUUCGGGCCUCACACCAUCGGAUGUGCCCAGAUGGGAUUAGCUAGUAGGUGGGGUAAUGGCUCACCUAGGCGACGAUCCCUAGCUGGUCUGAGAGGAUGACCAGCCACACUGGAACUGAGACACGGUCCAGACUCCUACGGGAGGCAGCAGUGGGGAAUAUUGCACAAUGGGCGCAAGCCUGAUGCGGCCAUGCCGCGUGUAUGAAGAAGGCCUUCGGGUUGUAAAGUACAUUCAGCGGGGAGGAAGGCGGUGAAGUUAACAGCUUCACCGAUUGACGUUACCCGCAGAAGAAGCACCGGCUAACUCCGUGCCAGCCGCCGCAGUAA
This 504-nucleotide ribosomal RNA is filed under the name uncultured bacterium. Its description in RNAcentral is "partial 16S ribosomal RNA". It matches the Rfam family "Bacterial small subunit ribosomal RNA", at positions 29 to 523 of the family's 1533-position model. The record is from RNAcentral.